Long non-coding RNA from Papaver somniferum (opium poppy), 1333 nucleotides. RefSeq lists it as uncharacterized. The transcript is spliced from 7 exons. The record is from RefSeq and is a predicted model, not a curated record. NCBI's taxonomy places the organism in Eukaryota, Viridiplantae, Streptophyta, Magnoliopsida, Ranunculales, Papaveraceae.
CUCUCACCUCACUCAUCUAACUCUCUCUCUCUCUUCAGCUCUCACCGAAGCACCACGUACAACAGAGAAAAAAAAAAUCACAGAAUUAACUAUUUUCUCUUAAAUCCGAAAAAUCAAAACCUUUUUCACUGAAAUCCCACCUCCAUCCAACCAUUUUAUCUGAUGUUCUUAGAAAAAUUUCUUAAACACCCACCUCCGUUAAACCUUGAAGAGAAAAAAAGAUGCAUGAAUAGAGCUUGUCCUGGUCUUGGAGAAGCUCUGAAAGGCAGCAUUGAGAAUAAGAUUCAUGGGAUGGUGACAGAACAAGGAUUCUUGAUGGGAAAUUGUAUCCCGAAAAUAUGGUGAUAACUUCAAAGUUAAGAGUCCUCCUUAUGUUUUCGUGAUAAUGCUUCGUAGCUUGAUUAACUUAGUAGAUUUUACCAUAAAUUGUUAUGUUAAUCCUAGUAGGUUUGCCGUUAGCAGCGGCGGAUGUACGCACAGACUUCCCCUGGCUUAAGCCAGGGGUGUAUCAAAGGAAUUUUUUUUUUGGGGUAGUUAAUGAUAGCCUAAAUUCGUCAAGCUCUGUUACACCUAUUGUCAAGCCAGCGUAGAAAUCUAUUGUUUUCAAUGAUAGCCCUGUGAAGGAUAGAUGAAAUCAAGAAAGGUGAACUUCUUGAUCCAAGGAUAUGGGGUUGAGCAAGAGUACACCCUCCGCAGAAGUAUGUUUAAGGUAACAAGGUUGACGUAAUCGAAUGCCAUUUGAGGGCAUGACAAACUUGCAGGCAGCUUGUGGUGCCAUUUAAGAAUGAAAACUAAUGCAAUAACUGUACAUGGCUUGAACCACUACUCUUGACGGAUUUAAUGUUGGUGGUGGAGUGUGCUGGUGGUGCUGUUAGGCAAGUGAGGUUGCCGCUAUUGUUAGUGGUGGUGCUUGAGGUAUUGGAGUGGGAAAAGACUACCUGCACGAAGACCUAAUGUAUUUUCAGUCCUGCUUAAUGAAAACAAACGUUUUCACCACCAUUUUCAGCAGAUCCUCCAGAAGAAAAAGAAAAGGAGGAAGAUGAAUGAAGGUGCACUGAUGUCAUGGUUGAUGGUAAGAUCUCUGUUGCUACUGAGUAAGGAAAUGUUGGAAAGGGUUGUGCUUCUGCAGUUCUGUUCUCAAGCAAGCCUGGUGCCAAGGUCAUAAUGACUGAAAUUGUUGAAAUUUUUAGGACUUGUAUCACUUUUCUUUAAGAAACCUUGAACUUGUUAAUUAGCAGCUGAAUCCUUUUUUUUUGUGAGUUUGGGCAAAUUUUUUGAGUACAAUUCAAUGUAAUAGAGUUCUGAUUUUGUAUUAGAUGAAUCUGGUUUUACA